CCUACGGGUGGCAGCAGUGAGGAAUAUUGGUCAAUGGACGAGAGUCUGAACCAGCCAAGUAGCGUGAAGGAUGACUGCCCUAUGGGUUGUAAACUUCUUUUAUAUGGGAAUAAAAUGUUCCACGUGUGGGAUUUUGUAUGUACCAUAUGAAUAAGGAUCGGCUAACUCCGUGCCAGCAGCCGCGGUAAUACGGAGGAUCCGAGCGUUAUCCGGAUUUAUUGGGUUUAAAGGGAGCGUAGGUGGAUUGUUAAGUCAGUUGUGAAAGUUUGCGGCUCAACCGUAAAAUUGCAGUUGAAACUGGCAGUCUUGAGUACGUUAGAGGUGGGCGGAAUUCGUGGUGUAGCGGUGAAAUGCUUAGAUAUCACGAAGAACUCCGAUUGCGAAGGCAGUUCACUGGACUGCAACUGACACUGAUGCUCGAAAGUGUGGGUAUCAAACAGGAUUAGAUACCCCAGUAGUC
This 460-nucleotide ribosomal RNA is filed under the name uncultured bacterium. RNAcentral's name for it is "partial 16S ribosomal RNA". It matches the Rfam family "Bacterial small subunit ribosomal RNA", at positions 338 to 795 of the family's 1533-position model. The record is from RNAcentral.